UCAGCUCCAAAACCCCUUUCUUUUGCUCCAAGACUCAAUCCAUCAAAUAUUCUUUCCUGAAAUAUAAUAAUAUGCAAUUGAAGUAAAAUAGCUCUAAAAGGAAAUAAUAUUAAAAUAAAAUAAACUUAAAUCUAAUUAAAAUGAAACUAAAUAUUAUACUAAAAUAGAUAAUUAAUGACUCAUUCAACUCCCCCACACUUGAAUCUUUGCUUGUCCUCAAGCAAAAGACAUAAACAUAGUAACAAUAAACAGGAUUAUAUAUGACAAUUCAAUCAAAACUCAUGUCUCCUCAAAGGCUUUAAUUUCAAGCGUACACUAAUUACAAACUCAAGCAUUUCUUAUAAUCUUUAUUCAACCCAACAAUCAAGUUCUAAGUGAGUGUGUGUGCGUGUAGUCCAACCCUUUUCUUGCUCCUGUAUAAGAUAGAUAUUAUGAGGAAACAAGUUCUAAUCCUAGCAUUAAACCAACCGAGAAAAGUCCUUUCUUCAUUUCGUAUAAGAGAGAUGAGAAUUAUCUAGAUUUAUUUGACAACUUUAGGUGCCUUGGGGACUGCAGAUUGCUUAGGGGAUACCAUUUUCUCAUAGGAAGUCUGCGAGGGGGUAUCCUUUCCUCCUAGAUUCCAUGAUCACCCUAAGUAGUGCUGCAAAUUUAUAAGUUAAAAGACAUCAUCUUUACGUAGAAAGUCAGUGAGGGGGUAUCCUUUCCUCCAUGUGCCAAUGAUGCCUUAUAAUUGUGCAAUUAAUUCUUUCCUUCUUUUAGAAGGAUUUAUGGCUACUUUGAGUUAUUAGAGAAACAUCACCUUCUCGUAGGAAGUUAGCGAGGGGGUAUCCUUUCCUCCAUGAUCCAGUGAUGCCUCUUUUACAAUUAAAUUAGCUUCCGCCCCAUUUUGAUUUAUCUAUUUAUUCCCCACACAAACUUAUACUACUUUUACUCUAAAGACUUUUAAAGGUUAACGUACCACUAAAAUUAGAACGUGCUUCCUUAAAGUACCUAUUCAUACACUUGCUCAAGGGAUGCAACUUGUGCUUUUCUCAUUGGAGAAUUAUCCACAAUAAAACAAGAUGUGGGUUUAUCAAGAAAACUUAAAACACAAGUGUUCACUUUCAUGUAGAAGAAACAACCAGCUUAGAGGAGACAACAAAAAUUUAUGUCAUAAUUUUCAAUAAAAAUAGGCUACUUAAUCAUGCCUUUCACAAUUAAACAAAACAAAAGAAUAAAGUUCAAGGGAGUUUGGAACACUACGACUCAAGACACUUUAUUAGCCCCCCCCCCCCCCCCCACACACACACACACACACACACACACACACACUUGGGAGAAGCAUUGUCCUCAAUGAUUCAAAACAAGAAAAAUAAGAGGGAAGAGAAGAAGAAGAAUGAGUAUGAGGAGAAAGAGAUAAGGGAAGAGAGGAAGAUGAAAGCUCAUAUUAUCAUUGAGGUCCAUAAGGAUGACCUUGGAGGUGGAAGUGUUGCAUCAUGCUCCGAAGCAUUUGAUUAUUCUCUUCGGAGAUGCGGUUUCCCCUAAGGACAUCAUUUCGUAGCCCGGAUAAUUCAAUACCUUGCCUUUGUUGCUCGGUGUGUAUCCAUGCCCAUCUUUCAUUUUCAUUGUUUCCUCCGGCAUCAUGGUCAUGUUGCUCCUCAUCAUGGUGCAAGUGUGCACCUUCCUCUUCUCCAACAUUGUGCUCUUCAUGUACCUGUGAACCUUCACCAACAUAUAUCAAAUUUUCUUCCACCUCGGUGUUAGUCCGAGAUGGGUUAGGAAGUAUAAUUAAAAUAGGCACAUUGAGUUUGAGUGUAUAGGUCAUGGGUGGACGAUGCUUAAUGAAGUUCAUAGAGAUAAGGGUCUAUAUGUUAAACCUAUUGUUUCCCUCAAUCUUGUUUAUCCCUUGGUCCUCACCCACUCUCAAUUGCCCAGCUAUGAAGGUAAUGAUACCACCUAUCACUAUCUCAGCUCUAUUGUUAGGUCUAGCACCUAGAGAGGCAAGGUAAUCAAGUAAGUAGAAACAAGUAUUCAUAAGGUUGUUACUGAGAAUUGCCCAAAGCAUAAAGAGUUUAUCCGUCCUAGUUGUUCCUACCUCUUUCCUACCCUAAAUGGUACAAGCCAUGACUCUUUGAAGGUACCUAAGCACGGGGUUGUGAAUGUUACUAGCCUUAUUGGAACGAGGAUUGUAUUGUCGUAAACCGGUAAUGCGUUUCCAAAAGCUAGCGGGGUCAUAGUCUUCCGGCUUGAGAUCUUGAUUCAAAGAGUCAUGGAUGAACCCCACAUUGGCGAAGCCCGUCUCUAAGCAAAAAUUUUCAAGAGUCAUCUUGUAAUCAACAUUCAAAAGCCGGAAGGAGACUCUAUGAUCGGCGUUAUCAAAAUUCAUCCUAUCUUUCUUGAAUUCAAUAGAACUCAAGAACUCAUAAGUGAAAUUUUCAAACUCCUUCAUAGGUCUAAGUAUUUCAACCCAUCCUAGGUUUCCUAGCAAGUUAAACACGUUCUCUCUAAUUCCUAGCACAUCCAAACUAUAAGAAUCAGGGUAUCUACAAGGGUGUAAAGGUUUAGAGAUAAUAAUUUUAUACCUAUCCUUUUGCUUGUUAUCCUUGAAAAUUAUGCCAUGAUUCUUUGUUGGUGCUUUCUUCUUUGAAGGAGUCCCCCUGAAUAGCUUGCUCCUUCCUUUCCACCUCUCCUUGAAGCCAUUUUCCUUGACCAUGGUUGACUUUGUGUGGUUUUGGUGAAGGUUGGGUUUUGGGUGGAAAAGGUUGGAUUAGUUAUGGAAUUAAGGUUUAAGUAAAUUUUAAGAGUUAGGUUGUGGAAAUUGAUGAUGAAUUUGUGGGUUUUGGGUUAGGUUAAUGAAGGCUACGAAUUUGGUUGAUUUUAUGUUUGGGUGGAUGAAAGUUGUCUUUGAUUGGAGGGUUAUGGUUGUAAUGAUGUUUGGGAUUGAUUGGGUGAAGAAAUUGUGAAUUGGUGAAGUUUUGAUGGAGAUAUGAAGGUUUGAAGGUUGUUGGAUAUGGAAAUUUUAGAGAGAAGUUUGAAGGAGGAGAGAUGUUUGUGUUGGAGAAUGAGGGAAGAAGAAGUCAAAAAAAAUGUGUAUAUGCUUACCUGGGGUCGGGCACGGCCGUGCCAAGCUUCUAGUGUUUUGUAUGUUUGGACAUGGCAAGGGAUGGCACGCCCGUGCCAGUGAGAGCACGGGCCGUGCCAAGCUUUUGGAGUUUGGGGCUUCAAAAUUUUUCAUUUUCUUGAAUCAUGCUUGGACUAUUACCUACAAAAUAACUUAAAACAACAAAAAAACAAACAAAAUAAAAGCAGUUAAAUGCGUGGGUUGCCUCCCACGAAGCGCUCCUUUAGAGUCAUUAGCUUGACGGUUAUAAAGUGUCCUUAGAAAGGAUCAAAGAGAUCAUAUUGUAUAGAUGACGCUAAGAAGCGUUCUUUCACAUCAUGAUCUUUAAUCAUGCAAUAAGAAUAAAGAGCGGGACCUUUCAUAACAUUCUCCAACUCGAAUCCUACCAUCUCAUCACUCACUUGAAAAACAAUCCUACCAUUCUUAACAUCAACAAUAGCAACCGCAGUAGCGAGAAAAAGUCUUCCUAAAAUCAUAGGGCAAUCAUGGUCCUCUUCUAUGUCAACUACCAUAAAAUCAGUCGGGAUGUACAUCCCUUCUAUCUUAACGGGGAUGUCCUCUACAUAUCCAACAGGUUGGAUAGUAGAACGACCAGCUAACUUCAAUGUCAUCUUGGUAGGUUUCAACCCUCCUAUUCCCAUCUUCUUAAAGAGGGAUAGAGGCAACAAACUAACACUAACUCCUAAGUCACACAAGGCUUUGCUUAUGGUCUCACUCCCUAUCACACAAGAGAUGGCAAAACUACCUGGGUCUCUAAGCUUUGGAGGUGGCUCCUUGAUGAUUGCACUACUGUCCCUUGUCAAAUCUAUUGUCUCUUUGUGAUCUUUAGCCUUUUCUUUGAAAAAAUUUCUUUUAAAAACUUGGCAUAUAGAGGCAUUCGAGACAAAGCUUCUUCAAAGGGAAUUUUAAUGCAAAUCUUCUUAAGUAUGUUCACAUUGAAUUGAGCCUCCAAGUUAAGCUCUUCUUAAUGGGGAAGGAGUUUUGUUCUUAUCAAGCGGUUUCUCACUUUCUAUCACAUCAUUCUCACCUAGAUGCUUAACACUUUCUCCCUUGGUAUUCUUAGAGGGGGGAUGGAACCAACUUCUAGAGAAUGGAACCAAGCGCUAGCUCUAUCCCUUAAGGAAAAGGGAAAAAGAUGAAGUCUUACGGCUUCUUGGUUCUCUUCUAUGGUGCCACUGAGUCUUAAGAAAGAAGAGAUAUGGAGAUUUGGAUCCUCAGUGGGUGAUCCAGAAAACUGAUUUUGCUGCACCAAAUUGAGUAGUGCAAACUUAAUCUCAAAGUUGUUACCCAUAACGGCGAAUAGAGGGCAGUUUUGUAGUUUUUUCUUAGGGGGCCAAAAUCGCAACAUUGAAAAAAUUAGGGGGCUAAAACUGCUAUUAAGCCUAAUAAAAACUAAACAUAAUACUUUUUUUGCAUUUUUUGAUAUAUAAAAACUAAAUAAAUAAUAAAGUAAAGACAUGCAUAUUUUUGUGAUUUUUUAUGUUGCCACUUCUUAAAAUACCAUCUAAAAGCAAAUUAAUAAAUAAUAGAAUUAAAAUAAAUUACGAAAAUAAAUAAAUAAAUAAAAGGACCGAGAAAAGAAACAAAAUGUGGUAUUUUGAAAUACCUUGAAACCAAAAGGGACAUAAAGGAGUAGAAAAAGAAGAAAAACUCGUCAACACAAGUCGAAGGAGGGAGAAGAGAGGAAAAGUACCGGAAUCAUCAACUGUGAAUUUCAGUGUGUAGAAUGCACUGUGUAAGCUCUCUAUUUAUAGAGAAAAUUCACAACUAAUAAGUGAGAAACUUUGGGAACAAGUAAUUCACAUAUUAGAUCUAGUACAAAUAUAUCUCAGUUGAGUACCAAAAUCUAUUAUAUUGAGUACCAAAAUACAUUAUUCAGUACAUAAAUUUGAUAUUCAAUACAUUAAUAUAUUAUUGAGUAUCAAUAUAUUUCAGAUAAAACACUAAAAUAUAUUAAAUUGCCUACCAAAAUAUUUCAGAUUGUGUUCCAAAAUAUUAUAGAUUGCAUUCUAAAAUAUUUUAGUAAAACUUGGGGAGAAAGAAAACACUUUUUAAUAAUGAUCAAAUUAAAUAUUUAAUUUAUCAUUUUCAAAUAAUAUUUUUUUAGUGCUUACUUCAUUCACACAAUUAUGUACUCCAUUAAUUAAAGUUACACCCCCACUAUAUAUAACCUUUGGUCAAAAAUUUUACAUCCUCAUUUAUUAAGUAAUAAUAGGAUAGUUUUUGAACAAAAAAAGUAAUAGGAUAUUUUCUUUCCUCUAAACAAAAGUAAUUAGGAUUUUUCCACGUAAUAUUUCUCAGAUUUUCCGAAGAUUGCGCAUCUCCUUGUUUCGUUUGUACUAUAUAUAUAUAUAUAUAAUACUAGAACUAAAAGAAACACAAACAUUCAAAUUGUUUGCUUCUCUUUGGAAUCGCUACGGUUCUACCGCAGCACUGCUCAAUCGAAACUAUGCUGCCGCGACAGUUGCUCUAUCAGCCCAGUUCAGCAUCGAUGGUAAUCCUCUCCAAGGAACUUAUAAUGGAAAUCUUAUCCUUGCUCCCGGUGAAACCUCUUAUGCGAUUCAGAUGCGUUAACAAGUUUUUCAAAACUCUCAUCUCCGAUCCUCACUUCGUUCAAAUGCAUCGCAAUAAAUCAAAACGAAACCCAAAGGCUAUUAAUUGGUGUGUUGUAGACUUGCCAAUUUCUCGAUUACUCGAUAUUUCAUCGGCCACCUUUCAUUAUUAUCCUUACUAUGAUCUGAACAAGGAUUACUCUAGAUGGCGGGUCAUUGGUUCAUGCAAUGGAUUGCUAUGUUUGACUUAUGAUCAUCGGCGCUGGGUCCUCUGGAGCACAGCCAAUAUGACAAAAUCAUCUGAAUUUUUUACACCUUAUUUGGUUGAUUAUUUUUCGUACUCUUUUGGCCAUGAUAAUUCCACUGGAACUUAUAAGGUGGUAGCAUUCUCUAAUGAUAUGCAACCUGGUUUUCAAAGCAUGGUUAAAGUUCACAGCAUAAGGGAUAAUUCUUGGAGAAAUAUUCAAUGCUUCUAUCGUAAGUUUGCUAGUAGAGACAACAAUGGUGUGUAUUUGAGUGGUACUAUUACCUGGUUGGCCCUUCGCAAUUACUAUAAUGUAAACAUUGAGAAAUAUGUGAUUGUUUCGCUCGAUCUCUCGACUGAGACAUACACUCGACUGAUUCUACCUCGAGGAUUUAAGAAGGUGCCCUGUUCACUACCAAAACUUGUGGUUUUGACGGACUGUCUUUGUUUUUGUCAUGAUUUGGAGGAAAACCAUUUUGUUAUAUGGAUGAUGAAGGAUUUUGGAGUUCAAGAGUCUUGGAUUCAAUUAUUUAAAAUUAGUUAUCGGAGUUUCUCUUCAUGCUACAAAUUUCGUGGAAUGAGUUCUAUCUUUCCAUGGUUGAAUUUGAUCCCAUUGGGUCUUUCUAAGAAUGGUAACAUCCUGAUAUUGGCAAAAGUGGAAGACCUAAAGGCAUUUAUCUAUAACUGCAGAAACAAUAUAGUGGAAAGUAUGGUUUUGACUCAUUAAAAGUGAGUUUCUCUUCCACAUAUUACUUGAUUGAAUUAAUGUUUAUCUAUAACUGCAAAUGGACAUGAUGUUAUGAAAUUGAAAGUCAAUCAAAUAUAUAAUGUAUUUGCCUAAUAUUGAUACUUGAUUAAUUGGAUUGGUUGUGCUUGUGUUUUGUCACUUUACACUUACGUAUCACAUGAACUUUUGCAGAUAUUACUUCUUGUAUGGACUUGUGGACAAUAUGGAAAGACAGGUAUAGAAGGUGGCUGCUACAAUUGAAGAUGGUAUUGACUAGAAUGUGAUAUUUUCUUCGUUAAGAUCAUUUAAGUCUUAGUUAAUGGUUUCUUUUGAAUUUGCUAAAAACAUGUAAUUGAAGAAGAACAAUUCUUGUGUUGUCACUUGCUGUGUUAGUUACAUUGGAGUAUUAAAAUAAUGCAAAAUUGUUCAAUUCUUACAUUUGGAAAUUAUGUAGUGUAUUUAUGAUUGAUUUUUUAUCAUCUAUUAUCUAUAAUAUUUUACAAUGCCAUCUCCACACUUCAUUUUGUUAUUGCAUCUCAGAAUGAGCCUAGCCAUCACAAUUAACAAGUGUUAUUCAAUAAAUAUUGUACAGUACAGUGUUUAUUUGAUAGAUAUUCUUCAGCGAUUUAAUACAAUUUAUAACUCCCUAGAUUGCUAAAUUUUCUCUAAGCUAACCGUAAACUAUUUUUUAUGUCUGAUAUCUAACCAUAAAUUAUAUGGACAUGGUCUAAAAGAAACAUGAGAGCGAGCGACUUAGUGAGAGAGAGAUGAUUGGUCGCGGUCUUACCACGAAUAGUCACGCUGGAGGUGAGGUCAAUUUGGGGGGGGGGGAUAGGGAUGAUUGGUUUGAUGUGAGUCCGCGACGUAGGAAAGCAUUGCGACAGGUUGAUCGAAGUCAGGACAGGCAGCAGGAGAACAACUGGCGCAGGGAUUGGGAUGAUUUUGACAAUGGACAGUCUAGGUUUAGGGAUUCGCGGGAGGAACUCGGUGAUUACGACGACCGGUUUUACUACUCGGAUAGGUAUCAAGAUCGAAAAGGGAUUGCUCCUGGGGAACAGCGCGAUGUUAACACAAGGGAAGAAGUAGUGGAGCGGCGCGGUUCAGGGGGACAACAGAAGGUGCUCCGCAACGCUGCUAUCUGUGUUCUUACGAUUGAAAGCAGGUAGGGACAGAACGCGAACUUAGCAGCUGAUCGCACAUCUCAACAACUUGCGACAAUACCAUCAAGUAAUGAGACUGCAAUUGGUUCAAAUUUCAAACGGUUCGUAACUUUUUACUUUACAAACUUUCCAGCUCAAUUAUCGAAUUUCUAUUUACGGAAGGGUUUUGAAGUGUGUGGUAUGUUAGAGGAUGUGGUGGUUCCUAGUAAACGUAACGUUUAUGGGGAACUUAAUGGUUUUGUUCGAUAUGUUAAAGAUGUAAGUUAUUGAAAGCGGUGAAUGCAGUUUGUUAUUGGUAAUUUUCGUGUGAAUGCGAAGGUUGCGAGAUUUGAUAGGUCUGCUAAUAAGUUGUUGGUGAGGGAGGGUGAGGGUGAGGGAGUGACAGUUGAAGGAAAGGGGAAGAAAGGAGUAGUUGAGGGAGAAAAAAAGCUCAGGUGAGGGUGGCAUAGUUACGGGCGUUGGAGGGGGGAAGGUGUUGGAUAUGGUGACGGUGGAGGGUGAGGGUGUGGAAGGGACUUCCGUGGUAAGGGUAGGGGAGGUGCGGGUGCCUUUGGAGAGGGUGAAGGGGAAGGGGAUUGAUAUGGUGGAUGAGGGAGCCGUAUUGGUUAGGAAGGGAGGUGACGUAGGGGAUGUUCUGAAGAAGCAGCAGGUACCAUGUAGUCAGGUAGGGCGACAACGUUCAAUCCAAAAACUAUUAAGGAUGUAUAGGUCCCAAGGGGAUGACUUGUUAUGGGCUCGCAAUGGCUGCACGGAAACCGUGACAAAUGGUGAGGUUAUUCCCGUGGUUCAAAAUUGAAUUGAAGACACAAGUUUUGAAGAUUUAGAAGUGAUACCUUUGGGUGCAGAUAGAUUAUUUCUACAUAACUCUUCAGGUGUCGAUUUCUCAUUAAUUAUUGAAGGUGCCCGUGAUUUUUUUGCUCAUUUCUUUACUAAUAUUUGGAGAUGGGAUAAGGAAGUGACUACGUUUCAGAGAGGUGCUUGGCUGAGAUUGUAUGGUAUCCCGUUACAUGCAUGAAAUGAAUCCUUUUUCAAACUAUGUGUUCUUGAUUGUGGCAGAUUUUUAAGGACUGAUAGUUGUUCGGUGGAUAAAGUCAAGUUUGAUUAUGCCCGUGUGUUGAUUCCGACGUCCUCUCUGAAGGUCGUCAAUUGUGCGAAAAAGCUUGUUGUUGAUGGAGAUAUUGUUGAUAUAAAAAUUGUUGAGGAGUGGGGCUUCAACAUUGGUGAAGAUGCAUGUCUGUUUGAACCUGACGAUGGAACGCAUUCUUCGCAUUCUAAUCAUGAUGACAUUGGUGGGGAAGCAGAGCAUAAUGGUGUUGAUACUGAUUUUUUGGUUGACAAAAUUGUGAAUGAGCUGGUUGAUGCUAGUAAGGAAGUGUCUCAGGAGCCCGUGAUUGUGGGUAAGGUAACUAGUGAAGAUAUAGAUGAGAAUGUUGUGCAGCCAAUUAGUGUCACUGUUGAUGUAGCCGCACCAAUUGUGGCGCGCACUAUUACAUGUGUUCCAUAAAAACAUACAGACUCUAACAACUGCAACACGGUUUUUGAUCAUGGUCCGGAGAUGUCUAUUCUUGAUUUUGAGGCCCGCAAUCAUAAUGAAGCUACUCAGGUUUUUGUUAAGAAUGACUAUGUUGUGUCAGUACAGCCACAACGUCAGUCUUAGUGAAUGGAAGUCCUACAGAUGAGUUCCCGUUAUUGAGGGGAUUAAGGCAAGGUGAUCCUUUGUCUCGUUUUUUGUUCUUGUUGGCGGCGGAGGGCCUUAAUAUUUUGAUGAAAUCAUUGUUUGACACUCAAUUAUUUACUGGUUAUAGCAUUGGGGAGGUCAAUCCGAUUGUUGUGUCUCACCUUCAGUUUGCUGACGACACUUUGUUAUUGGGAACUAGCGAAUGUCUGCACCCUAAGGGUGGUUAUGGUGAUUUUUGAGGAAAUGUCGAGAUUGAAGGUAAAUUUUCAUAAGAGUAUGCUUGUUGGUGUUAACAUUGCCACCUCUUGGUUAAACGAGAUUGUGUUCGUGUUGAGUUGUAAAGUGGGAAAAGUGCCUUUCUUGUAUAUGGGUCUACCUAUUGGAGGUAAUAUUCGGAGAUUGUGUUUUUGGGAACCUAUUGUGAAUCGUAUUAAAUCUAGACUGUCAAGUUGGAUUAGUCGUUUUCUCUCUUUUUGGCGGCCGCUUGGUUCUUCUCAAAUCUGUCUUGACUUAUCUGCCUCUCUAUGCACUUUCUUUCUUCAAAGCUCCAUCAGGUAUAAUCUCUUCUAUUGAAUCUUUAUUGAAUAAAUUUUUUUAGGGUGGGGGUGAUGAUCAUAGGAAAAUAUAUUGGAUUGGAUGGACUAGUGUUUGCCUUCAAAAGGAGUAUGGAGGGUUGAGGGUUAGACAGUUGAAGGAAUUUAAUGUUGCCUUAUUGUGGAAAUGGUGCUAGAGGAUAUUAGUGGAUAGGGGUGGUUUUUGGUAUAGAAUUUUAGUCGCCCGUUAUGGCGAGGUAGGUGGGAGGUUGGGGGCCAGAGUUGUUCUUCGUGGUGGAGGGAGGUGGGGAGGAUUAUGGAUGGGGGCGGUGAUGUGGGUGGUUGGUUUCAGGAGUAUGUGUCGAAAAAGGUGGGGGAUGGAACUGACACAUUGUUUUGGUUUGAUAAAUGGUUGGGGUCAGUUCCUUUGUGUGUGCGUUUCCGCAUGGUGUUUGAGUUAUUUGAAAACAAAUCCAUCACGGUGGCUCAUUUGUUUUCUCCCCAAUUAUGGAAAACAUUAACAUCAGAUAUGUUAAAGACCUUAUUCUUACUAAAACUCCAGGCUGGAACUUUACUAUCCUUAAUGAGCAUUUUCUACCCAUAGACUAUAAUAGUGUAAUGCAAAUUCCUCUCAUUAAUACUUAAAAUCAGGAUGAGCUUAUGUGGAUGGGGGAUCAACAAGGGUAUUACACUGUUAAAAGUGGGUAUUUAGCCUUACAAAAUUGGAAAAAGGAAGAUGCUGACAACCCCUCUACUAGUGACCCUAAUUUAUCUACUUGGAAAAAAUUUGGGCUUUAAACACAAUUCCCAGACACAAAAUGUUAAUUUGGAGAAUUCUGAAUAGAGCCCUUCCUCUUAGAAGUGAGCUAGAAAAAAGGGGAAUCCAUUGUUCCCCUCUCUGUCCAAGAUGCAAUGCAAAGCUAGAGACAUCAAUGCACACCUUCAUGUCCUACCCUAUGAUUACCAGAACAUGAUUUGGUUAAAACCUCGAACUAGAGAUUCUGAACCAACUCUAUCUGACUUCUCUGAUUGGCUAAGUAAUAUUAUCCAGAACGAAAACGAGGGUAUUGCUAUACAAGUUGCAGAUAUAACCUAUUAUAUUUGGUUUACACGUAACCUCGGCUUUUUUUAGUCUAGAAUUUUACUUGAGAUGGAAAUCAUCAAGCGAGCCCUCACCAGCAUCUCCGAUUAUCAAGCGACCAAUCAACAUAUUAGCAAUCUGGAUCUUCAACCUUCUUUCGCUCAUCGUCUCCAGAAGCUCCCUUGCAGCACCAGACUCGUCCAGUAGAAGGCUUGUUGAAGGUGAAUAGUGAUGCUAAUCUCCAAGAGCAAGGAUGGUGGAGUUUAGGUACAGUGAUUCGAGAUUCUCAAGGAUUGAUUAUGGCAGCAGCGACUUGGAAAGUCACUGGUUCGGAAAACGCAGCCAUGGCGAAAGCUUUUGGCAUUCUUGCAACUAUGAUUUUUUGCUUUCGAGUGUGGUUUUCCUAGAUUAGUCUUUGAAGGAGAAAAUGAAACGAUUAUACGCAGGAUUCAAAAUGACAAGUUAGUAGAUAGAUCUUAUCUUGGAGAGACCAUAAAGGGAAUCCGGAAGGUACAAUCUGGCUUUGACAUGUGUAGUUUUAACUUUAUCCAUAGAGAUAGUAAUAUUGUGGCUCACAUUCUGGUCCAAUUAGCCUUGAUCGACCCAAAUAAGGUCUGGUUAGAGGAGGUACCCCCUCCUAUUACUGAUGUAUACUUCCA
RNAcentral lists this long non-coding RNA (11734 nucleotides) under Medicago truncatula (barrel medic). Its description in RNAcentral is "long non-coding RNA (MTRU_LNC008549)". Lineage: Eukaryota; Viridiplantae; Streptophyta; Magnoliopsida; Fabales; Fabaceae. The record is from RNAcentral.